Molecule: long non-coding RNA, 212 nt
Filed under: Fukomys damarensis (Damara mole-rat)
Lineage: Eukaryota; Metazoa; Chordata; Mammalia; Rodentia; Bathyergidae
Description: lncRNA (ENSFDAG00000028707.1)
Source: RNAcentral
CAGGAAUAGGGGCGGCAAGGAAGACUGAUCGUACAGAAAGGAACUCAGGGACAGAGCCAGAAGGGCACAUGCUCAAAUCCAGCCAGUAGGAAGCAGGGAAUGGAGAAGUGAAAGAGAUGCUACAAAGGGAUGGAGACCUACACUUGACAUGCGUUCAGUCCUGCUUAACAGAGGAAGGGGAUCACUUGGUACUUCAGACAGAGACAACCCCC